CAGGGUCCAAAACUCACAGCACACUUCAGCUCGCGAGCCGAACAGGAUAAACAUUUAUUGAACUCAUAUCUCCUGUGGAACACCAGCCGUCUCACAGCUUCAUCAUGCAGCUCUUCAGAAACUCUUCCUCGAAGUGUGUGAUCACAAUCAUGCAGGAGAGGGAAAAUCAGACAGAUUUGUCUGUUCAUGAACAGAAGAACAGAGUGAUUGAGGAAAACAGAAGGAAAAGUCCCAGUAAAUGGAAUCGCAUGCGUAAGGCCAUCUGAUCAUCUGAGAAUAAAAUCUGAAAAAUAAAUGUUUGUGAAGUACAUCAUUAACAUGUUCAGAAUUAUCAUAAGCAAACGUUUUACCGGAAAUAAUUUUAUACGAAAACCCAAACACACCAAACACACUUCUGCUGUAGAAUAUUUGUUUGUCUUUUACAUUUAUUCAAACAUUCAGUAAAUAAUAAUUUAAUUUGUGAGUGUGUGUGUGUGUGUGUGUGUGUGUGUGUGUGUCUGUCAGACCUGUCCCUGGUGUGUGUCGAUGCCUGUUUUUAGUCAUGUUGCUCUUGAAUGCUUGUCAUCCCUCUUCUGACUCCUCCAUCCUUACUGUGUGCUGUGUUUGGGACUGGGGUGCUGCUGGCAUGGUGGUGGUGUUCACUGUGAUCCAGGCAGGAUUUUACUACCUUCCUGUAGGACAUGUGAGUAUCACAUCAGAGAGAAGAUCAUCCUGACCUGCGGGAGUGUAGAGUGUGAUCACUGUACUGUAAACGCCACACUCUAAUGAUGAGAACAACCCACAACAGCGUCCAGGAGGGAAAAAUGGGAGCUCAUGGAAAGCGUUUGAAAUACAAUAUAAAUGGUCUACAUGCUUGUGUGGUGUGUUUGUGUGUAUUAUUGUGUGUGUGGUGGUGUGGUGUCUUCCGCUGCAGCAGUGUGUCAAGCAGAGUGAUUCCUCUGAUCAGUGCUGCCUCGGUCUUCUCUUUCCUCAUCAGUGUGUUUCUCUACACACACAGCAACACAACAGGCAAAACACACACACACGCACACAAAAUAAAGCAUUGGCAUGGGCCGUGUUUUUCACUCCGAGAGCUUCAGUGAUGUUCUACUUGAAUCAAUCCACCUUUUAAUCCCAUCAUUAUGAUGCUACGUCUA
Molecule: long non-coding RNA, 1136 nt
Organism: Silurus meridionalis
Lineage: Eukaryota; Metazoa; Chordata; Actinopteri; Siluriformes; Siluridae
Exons: 6
Source: RefSeq, a predicted model, not a curated record